CUACGGGGCGCUGCAGUAGGGAAUUUUGCGCAAUGGGGGAAACCCUGACGCAGCAAUACCGCGUGAGUGAAGAAGGCCUUUGGGUCGUAAAGCUCUUUUCUUGGGGAAGAUAGUGACGGUACCCAAGGAAUAAGCACCGGCUAACUCCGUGCCAGCAGCCGCGGUAAUACGGAGGGUGCAAGCGUUGUUCGGAUUUACUGGGCGUAAAGGGCACGUAGGCGGCACAGCAAGUUAAGGGUGAAAUCCCGGGGCUCAACUCCGGAACUGCUCUUAAAACUGCUGAGCUAGAGAUAGUCAGAGGCGGGUGGAAUUCCAGGUGUAGAGGUGAAAUUCGUAGAUAUCUGGAGGAACACCGGUGGCGAAGGCGGCCCGCUGGGGCUAUUCUGACGCUAAGGUGCGAAAGCGUGGGGAGCAAACGGGAUUAGAUACCCUUGUAGUC
RNAcentral lists this ribosomal RNA (439 nucleotides) under uncultured bacterium. RNAcentral's name for it is "partial 16S ribosomal RNA". It matches the Rfam family "Bacterial small subunit ribosomal RNA", at positions 339 to 795 of the family's 1533-position model. The record is from RNAcentral.